CCUACGGGAGGCAGCAGUAGGGAAUCUUUCACAAUGGGCGAAAGCCUGAUGGAGUAACGCCGCGUGCAGGCUGAAGGCCUUCGGGUUGUAAACUGCUUUUAUAAGCGAGAAAUAUGAUGGUAACUUAUGAAUAAGGAUCGGCUAACUACGUGCCAGCAGCCGCGGUCAUACGUAGGAUCCGAGCAUUAUCCGGAGUGACUGGGUGUAAAGAGUUGCGUAGGUGGCAUAAUAAGUAGCUAGUGAAAUCUGGUGGCUCAACCAUUCAGACUAUUAGCUAAACUGUUAAGCUCGAGACCGUUAGGGGUAACUGGAAUUUCUAGUGUAGGAGUGAAAUCCGUAGAUAUUAGAAGGAACACCAAUAGCGUAGGCAGGUUGCUGGGACGGUUCUGACACUAAGGCACGAAAGCGUAGGGAGCAAACGGGAUUAGAUACCCGUGUAGUC
This 442-nucleotide ribosomal RNA is filed under the name uncultured bacterium. RNAcentral describes it as "partial 16S ribosomal RNA". It matches the Rfam family "Bacterial small subunit ribosomal RNA", at positions 338 to 795 of the family's 1533-position model. The record is from RNAcentral.